RNAcentral lists this unclassified non-coding RNA (336 nucleotides) under soil metagenome. Its description in RNAcentral is "partial contains 5.8S ribosomal RNA, internal transcribed spacer 2, and large subunit ribosomal RNA". The stretch from base 2 to 121 matches the Rfam family "5.8S ribosomal RNA", at positions 35 to 154 of the family's 154-position model. The record is from RNAcentral.
AGAUGAAGAACGCAGUGAAAUGCGAUAAGUAGUGUGAAUUGCAGAAUUCAGUGAAUCAUCGAAUCUUUGAACGCACAUUGCGCCCCUUGGUAUUCCAUGGGGCAUGCCUGUUCGAGCGUCAUUUGUACCUUCAAGCUCUGCUUGGUGUUGGGUGUUUGUCUCGCCUCUGCGUGUAGACUCGCCUCAAAACAAUUGGCAGCCGGCGUAUUGAUUUCGGAGCGCAGUACAUCUCGCGCUUUGCACUCAUAACGACGACGUCCAAAAGUACAUUUUUACACUCUUGACCUCGGAUCAGGUAGGGAUACCCGCUGAACUUAAGCAUAUCAAUACGGAGGA